Long non-coding RNA from Eucalyptus grandis, 1736 nucleotides. RefSeq lists it as uncharacterized. The record is from RefSeq and is a predicted model, not a curated record. NCBI's taxonomy places the organism in Eukaryota, Viridiplantae, Streptophyta, Magnoliopsida, Myrtales, Myrtaceae. The transcript has 5 exons.
GGCGGAGGAUCCUUCUUCGGGCUCUUGAAGAUAUCUAUCUUCUCUCUGUUCUCUUCGCUCGAUCAUUUCUUGGCCCUGCAAAUCUUUCUGUUCCUUUUCCUCUUUUCGCUUUUGCUCCGGACCCCAUCUCGGCGGUGAUCAUUGCGUCAUCAUGUUUUUCCCGAACCCCCCCGAAUGCCUCGCCGCCUGCGGAAAGAGGGGAGCUCCAAUGAUGGCGGAUUUCUGCAUGGUUUUGCUCGAAUGCGGCUUUCUCACGCAGGGUCCAUACGAAUGGGCGAGACACCGAGGGGAAGCUAAACGGUUCAACUCUACGCUCUUGAAGAUGGAGUUCAAUUGGGCAAACCUUGCACAAGUGUGGAUGCUUGCUAAGAGUCCCAGCCAGCGGCUAUCCCGAAUGCAGGUGCUGCAGCCAUGGGAAUCAGAGAAUCCGAAUCCGGCGAGGAGCCGACGGCCUGUUGUUGUAGCUGGUGCUGGAUUGGGAAUGCUUCCUCGUUGAUCAGGGAGUUCAGGAACGAUGAGAAGACGUCGUCCCCGCAGCAGUUGAGGUCCUCCUCCUCCUCAUUAGACAGUCCGUGGCUGCUUCUCAAGCCCAUCACAUGGUAAUGCUGGGUACCCGGCAAAUAACUGGCUUCACCACCGUGAGCUGUCGCAGUCCCAUUUUGAUACACAGCCUCCGUAUUAUCGGCACUUUGGAUCUGAUCAUUUUCUUUGAGGAUGGCUGGGCUGCCACUGCUGGUUUCCUCGAGGCCAGAAGAGAUGGGGCUAGGGUUAGGGCUUCGAGGGCGAGGUGCCGCUUUGGAAGGAGGAGGUUUCGCUGGAGGAUUGCUGCUGGAGUUCUGGGUUUCUGGAUUGAGCGGCUUGUGCGUCCUCGGAUCAAUUCCUUGACUGAUGAGCUUCUUGCUAAGGCAGUGGUGGCGAAUCAGUGAGUGGGAAGAGAGAACUAAGUGAGCGACCGAGAGGAGAACAUCGAAACCCUAACCGGCCCCUCCCGAGAUAUUCAAGAUUCAGGAAUGCACGGAAACCCUAGCCAAGAUCGGGAGAGCCCAACCCCGAUCGAUCCGGCUCGAUGAUCUUCGAGAUUUUCGGGGGAGGAGGGGGAGAAAGGGUUACCGGUUGCCGAGGAGGCGGUGGAGGCGGAGGAUGAGGUCCUCCUCGUCGGGGGCGAUCUGGCCGCGCUUGACGGAGGGGCGGAGGUAGUUCAUCCAGCGGAGGCGGCAGCUCUUGCCGCAGCGGAGGAGGCCGGCCCGCUUGGGGAGGGUCCGCCACCGGCCCUCGCCCUCGCGGUUGAUGUAGCCGGCGAGGAGCUCGUCCUCCUCCGGCGUCCAGGGCCCCCUCUUCAGCCCCACCUUGCUGCAGCACGGGGUCUUCGUCCCUCCCGACGACGACGACGGAUUCCUCAUUUGGGUCGCCUGCCUGCCCGUCUGUAUUUCCAGCCGCAGGGAUUGGGGAAGCCGAGCCGAGCCGAAGGGAGUGUUAUCCCGUUUUCCUCAGGCGCGGUCCGUGGGGGCGUGCUCUCUACGCGCCGGUUCUUGGGCCCAGCCCGAGGCCCAAAUUAAAUCCCAUCCCAUUUUGUAAUGCGCCAGUGUUGCCUUUCUUUUGGGUUAGGGUUUUGUUUAGUAGGGAACAGAGAUCACAGUAGCUGGAUUGUUGCAGGCUGAAUUUCUAAAAAAUUUGGGAAGAGGAUACAUCGCACGUUCUUUCCCCAUUUAAAUUUCAUGUUCUGUGGCCAUCAUGCA